Cercocebus atys (sooty mangabey) is the source of this 2725-nucleotide RNA transcript. It is a transcript of the gene named chromosome unknown open reading frame, human C2orf73, with no coding region annotated. Lineage: Eukaryota; Metazoa; Chordata; Mammalia; Primates; Cercopithecidae. The record is from RefSeq and is a predicted model, not a curated record. The transcript is spliced from 6 exons.
CUUUGCGCGCGCUUUUCCUGGCAGGGCUGCGUCCCUGUUCUUCCCGGGAGGCUCCUCGCUGCCUGGUCCCGUAGAGGCCCAUGGAGGGAAAGGAAGAUAAGCAUCAUUCCACUUGCCUGUCCUGGUGCAUCAGCAGAACUUCAAAACAAUUUUAUAGAAUAUAUCUCUUUUAUACAUCAAUAUGACGCCAGGAAAACUCCGAAUGAGCCUCUCCGGGGAAAGGAGUUCCUCUGCUGCUGCCCUCAGAGAGUAAUCUUCACCCUAGUAUCAUUAGUCGUCUUAGACCCAACACUUUGUCUCCUCCUCAAAAACUGUGGGUGACUGCCGAUUCAAAAAAGACGCAACUCCUUGGCAUGGCAUCAGUGACCUCCACCUAUGUCCUUGGGCUGCAGGAGCCUUCAGUAAUGGUCAAACAGUGGAAGUCUCCCAAAAAGUCAGAUGAAACCUUGAGAAAAGGAGCCAAGACUAUAAUAGUGGUCCUAUGCCACAGUGCAGGAAGAGAAUGAACAGAGAGAUCGCUGGCUUUUUUUUUUUUUUUUUUGAUGCUUGCACCAUAUCCUAGGUGGUUUCAUGCCAUCUCAUUUUCUCCUUGAAAUAUGUUCACAAUGAGGUGACUGGCUCUGGGGGAAGCCUAUGGCCAUGUUGUAAGGACACUCCAUCAGCCUGGUGGAGAGGUCCACAUGGCAAGGAACUAAGGCCUCCUGCCAACAGCCAACAAAGAACUGAGACCUUCUGCCAAUAGCCAUGAGAAAGUCCUCUUGGAAGAGAAUCAUCCCAUCUCAUUCAAGCCUUCAGAUGACCACGGCAUGGGCAAACUUUGAUUGCAGUCUCAUGAGAGACCCAGAGCCAGAACCAUCCAGUUAAGCUGCUAUCGAAUUCCUGAGCCCAUCUAAAUCGUGUUAAUACCUGUCGUAAACAGAUAACUAACAGAUUAAUAAGCAACUCAUAUACAGGCUUAGCUACAAAUCAUUCCAUACCGUAUUUUACUCAAACUGUUUUUUCCUAGUUUUGCCUUGAAGUGAAUGAAGCUCUAGAAAGCCAAAGGACAGAAGGAGAUAGGACCUCUGAGUCAUCUGGAGGAGUGGUACCCUAGAAAGCCAUCCCUAUCAUGCUAACUCACAAAUUUGGGACUUGUUUGCUAUAGUAGUUAGUGCUACUAAUUCUGUGUAAUAUACUCUCCUUUUUACUUCUCAUAGCAUUUAUUGUUCUCUACCAUAUAUAAUUAUUUGCAUAAAUAUAUUUUUUCAUUUUAGUCUAUUAGGUGCUUAAAAAAACAAACAAACAAGCAAACAAACAAACUACAUUGCCAUGGUUUGACUGUGUCCUCCAGAAGCAUGUGUUGGAAACUGAAUUGCCAUUGUAACAGUAUUAAGAGGUGGGACCUCUCAGAGGUGAGUAGGCCAUGAGGGCUCUGCCUGCAUGAAUGGAUUAAUGCUGUUAUUUCAGGAGUGAGUUUCUUAUAAAAGGACAAGGUAGGCCCCCUUCACACUCUCUCUGUUGCACACUCUCUUGGCCGUCUGCCCUCUGACAUGGGAUGACACAGCAAGAAGGCCCUUCCCAGGUGCAACCCCUCCAUCUUGGACUUCUCAGCUUCUAGAACUGUGAGCCAAAUAUAUUUCAUUUUUUUAUAAAUUACCCAGUCUUUGGUAUUGUUACAGCAGCACAAACCGGACUAAAACACGAAAUGAGAAAUUACAAGAUGCUUGGUGGUAUGUGCUUUGCCAAUGUAUCUCAAUUAAUUCUUGCAAUAACCCUCUACAGUAAAUACUAUUAUUACUCUGAUUUUUCAAAUGUGAAAUAUGAGCCUGGGAGAGGUAAAGUGACUUGCUCAUAGCCCGGAAGAGGCCAAGCUGACAAAUCUGAGGAUUCCUGAAGUCACUUCCUUAGCCAGACUCUAACACACUCCCUCCCAGUUAGCCCUGCAUCUCACACGGUGCCUAACAAAGUGUCUUACACACAGUUGUUGGUUAAUUUGUGCCAGUGACUGCAUGACUAAAUGAAUGAAGAAAUAGCAAUAUGUUAAAAGGGGAAAUGUCAUAAAAGUUCACAAAGAAUCAAAAAAUCCUGUUGCUCUCAAAUAUUUUUUCCUCAUACAAAUGGCCCUUUUUACUUGUAUGUCUCUGAACUUUAGGGUGCUGGUGGCUAGAACACAUAAAGAGAUUCAUUCACUGGAUGGAAAGCAUGCUUAGAGAAUACUAAGAAAUUCUUCAUAAUGUCUACUUUUAGAUCAAGAGCCUCAAGUGCUUCAGGACAUCAAACAAAUUUAGAACUUUUCUGAAAAGCCGAUUCAUUAAGGAAAGCUGCUGAAAUCCACAGGCACCUUUUAAGGAGAGGACAAGGACAUAGCGAUGGGUGCCCUUUCACUAGAAACCUGUGUCCAUUCACAACCAGGCUGGGGAGACUCAGAGCGUGACAAAGCCUUAAUUGUUCUUGCCAGAACAACAUGGUAAUGGAGUGAAAGAGUGGGUGCCCUGUGUACCGAGGAAAAAAGGCAGUAAAUGAGUCCCUGGCAGCACCGCAGCAGGUCAACCUUAACAAAGAUGGGGACGGCACUCUGCCAGAAAGCCAGUCUCAGCAAACUUGCUGAGUUAAAACUACCAGAUUUAAGCUAAAAACAGCGAUAUUUCCAAAAUAUGCAGCCUGUGCACCAUGGGAAAAGGAAGACUAUCCCUACCUGGGGAGUAGCUCACUGCACUCUUGAACUCCUGGGCUCAAGCAAUCCUCC